GACGAACCGUGCGAACGUUGUUCGGAAUCACUGGGCUUAAAGGGCGCGUCGGCGGCCGAUCGCGUCCGGGGUGAAAGCUUCCGGCUUAACCGGAACAGUGCCCCGGGUACGGACCGGCUGGAGGGAGGUAGGGGCAGGUGGAACUUCCGGUGGAGCGGUGAAAUGCGUUGAGAUCGGAAGGAACGCCGGUGGCGAAAGCGACCUGCUGGACCUCUUCUGACGCUGAUGCGCGAAAGCUAGGGGAGCGAACGGG
This 253-nucleotide ribosomal RNA is filed under the name uncultured bacterium. RNAcentral describes it as "partial 16S ribosomal RNA". It matches the Rfam family "Bacterial small subunit ribosomal RNA", at positions 524 to 776 of the family's 1533-position model. The record is from RNAcentral.